AAGCGGGAGCGGGCCGAGCUCCUAUAAGACAACCUGUGAUUGGCUCCGCGGUGCCCCGCCCUCACCGGGCUCUGAGUGCUCUUGCCCGUCCGGCCCCAGCCGCGGCCCGGGAAUCUACGUCACCCGAAAAGCGACUAUAAACGCCGGCGCCUCCGUCCCCAGCCGCGGCUCGGGAAUCCACCCGAAGAGUGGCUAUAAACGUCCGCGCCUCCAUUGCGCUCUCCUCUUCACUUAGGACACUGGUCCUCCCACGCCUGACACCGACGUCGCCAGGACCGCGGGGUUGGGGGAACUUGGCUGUCCCACGUCUUUCAAAUAAAGCUGUUUUGUCUAACUCAC
Molecule: long non-coding RNA, 339 nt
Organism: Homo sapiens (human)
Lineage: Eukaryota; Metazoa; Chordata; Mammalia; Primates; Hominidae
Gene: SNHG9
Product: small nucleolar RNA host gene 9
Source: Ensembl